UGACUCCUUUAUCUUUCUCUCCCACCCCUUUAAACAAAGCGACGAAAUCCGCCCCUUCUUCCUCCGUCGACCCGCCGCCACCAAUCUUUUCCUUCUCCGCCGCUACCAGAAGUCGCCGCCGCCGUCCUCAAUCCUCCUCCUUUCUCGCUCUCUAUCUUAGCUACAAGCAACCCAAGGUACUACGAACCGUCUGCUUCUCUAUUUCCACUUCCGACGCAUGCUUUUCACUUCCCUAGAAUGGUUAAUCACUUACCCAUCAUUGAUUGACCUCUGCAAUUGAGUCAAAAUUCUAGCUAGAUCUGAGAGCAAAUCCAGUCAAACGUUAUCAUCAGUGUUUUUGAGCUUGGGAUUCUGUAAGUUCUGCUGGUGAGACAUCGAAUUUGAGAAACUGGAUUCUUUAGUCCACCGGCUCCCCUUUUGCCACCUUCCCAGAGUUGAGCUGGAAAAGGCAAAAUCAGGGUUUAUAUUAUUAGUUUUUUCUUGAUUGUCUGUAGUAUUUUUUGAAAUGUGGGGAUCUCUUUCUUUUUCUUAUACCUCCCUCUCUUUUUGGGGUUGCAUCUUCUUAUGAAAUGAGAAUGGCUGCAAGUUUGGUAUAUGGAAGGAGAGUAUUGAUGAACUUGGACUCCAUUCUUUGUUGUCUACUGGGUUUUGUAGGCUGAAAUUCAUAGCCAUUUCCGUCAAAGCAGGAAGUGUUUGAUCUAUCUUGUGUUUUGAUUCACGGAAAAACCGAUGAAAAAAAUCAUUCUUUCCGCCUGAAACCAUUUUUGUACAGUACUGUUAUUGGAUUCUACUGCUUUCUGUCUCUGGGAAGAAGGGUGAUUCAUGUCAAAUCUGAUUGUCAUUUGCAG
RNAcentral lists this long non-coding RNA (848 nucleotides) under Linum usitatissimum (flax). Its description in RNAcentral is "long non-coding RNA (LUSI_LNC005600)". The record is from RNAcentral. Lineage: Eukaryota; Viridiplantae; Streptophyta; Magnoliopsida; Malpighiales; Linaceae.